This 424-nucleotide ribosomal RNA is filed under the name Funneliformis mosseae. Its description in RNAcentral is "eukaryotic LSU rRNA". It matches the Rfam family "Eukaryotic large subunit ribosomal RNA", at positions 348 to 637 of the family's 3401-position model. The record is from RNAcentral. Lineage: Eukaryota; Fungi; Glomeromycota; Glomeromycetes; Glomerales; Glomeraceae.
GUACCGUGAGGGAAAGAUGAAAAGAACUUUGAAAAGAGAGUUAAACAGUACGUGAAAUUGUUGAAAGGGAAACGAUUGAAGUCAGUCAUACCAACGGGAAAUCAACCUCUUGAGCUCGGUCUCGUGGGUUUUGAAGAGUUUCAAAGCCUUCGGAUUCGCGGGAUUGGGAUCUCCUGGUGUACUUUUUCGUACGGUUAGUCAACAUCGGUUUUGAAUGUCAUAAAAUGACUGGAGGAAUGUAGCUUCGAUCUCGUAUUGAAGUGUUAUAGCCUUUGGUAGAUGUGAUGUUUGAGACCGAGGAUUGCAACGGAUACCCUUCAGGGCUAUUCGUCUGAUCUCUGAUACGUUGCCUUGAUGUUGAAAGCUCGCUUAUGAUGUUAGGGUAUUACGGUCAAAAGGUUAGAACGAAUUACAUUCGUUAAGG